RNAcentral lists this unclassified non-coding RNA (379 nucleotides) under uncultured bacterium. Its description in RNAcentral is "contains 16S-23S intergenic spacer region". The record is from RNAcentral.
UCCGGUUUGUCACCGGCAGUCCCAUUAGAGUGCUCAACUUAAUGUGGCAACUAAUGGCAAGGGUUGCGCUCGUUGCGGGACUUAACCCAACAUCUCACGACACGAGCUGACGACAACCAUGCAGCACCUCCGCUGGCUUCCUUGCGGAUCAGUCGAUGUUUCCAAAGACUUACUACCAGUAGUUCAAGCCCAGGUAAGGUUCUUCGCGUUGCGUCGAAUUAAACCACAUGCUCCACCGCUUGUGCGGGCCCCCGUCAAUUCCUUUGAGUUUCAACCUUGCGGUCGUACUCCCCAGGCGGGACACUUAAUGCGUUAGCUGCGGCACUGGAGGGGUCGAUGCCUCCAACACCUAGUGUCCACCGUUUACGGCCAGGACUAC